GAUGAAGAACGUAGCGAAAUGCGAUAAGUAAUGCGAAUUGCAGAAUCCGUGAAUCAUCGAAUCUUUGAACGCACAUUGCGCCCGCUAGUAUUCUGGCGGGCAUGCCUGUCCGAGCGUCAUUUCAACCCUCAAGCCCCCGGGCUUGGUGUUGGGGAUCGGCGAGCCUCCGCGCCCGCCGUCCCCUAAAUCUAGUGGCGGUCUCGCUGUAGCUUCCUCUGCGUAGUAGCACACCUCGCACUGGGAAACAGCGCGGCCACGCCGUUAAACCCCCAACUUCUGAACGUUUGACCUCGGAUCAGGUAGGAAUACCCGCUGAACUUAAGCAUAUCAAUAAGCGGAGGA
RNAcentral lists this unclassified non-coding RNA (342 nucleotides) under soil metagenome. RNAcentral's name for it is "partial contains 5.8S ribosomal RNA, internal transcribed spacer 2, and large subunit ribosomal RNA". The stretch from base 1 to 119 matches the Rfam family "5.8S ribosomal RNA", at positions 35 to 154 of the family's 154-position model. The record is from RNAcentral.